Gossypium arboreum is the source of this 259-nucleotide long non-coding RNA. RefSeq lists it as uncharacterized. NCBI's taxonomy places the organism in Eukaryota, Viridiplantae, Streptophyta, Magnoliopsida, Malvales, Malvaceae. The transcript is spliced from 2 exons. The record is from RefSeq and is a predicted model, not a curated record.
AUAACUUGAAGGCCCUGUCUGAAAAGAAUAGAAAAAAGUGAAGAAGACAAUGACAAGGAAGCAAGGCCUGGGAGGCCCGAAUACCUGGAAAAAAGCCCGACCCAGGAACAAUAUAAUACUGAUAUUUCAAAAGAUUUCAUAGGUCAAGUGGAGGGAAAUCGCUUCAACGAGGGAAGAGGUUAUUAGCUCUGUUGGAUCAUAGGUCCCACCCUGCUUCGAGGUUUAGUUGGGUGCAUUUGGCAGCUGGGGAAAACAAGAA